GCAGAGCAUCCUACGGGAGGCAGGCAGUGGGGAAUAGUUGCACAAUGGGCGCAAGCCUGAUGCAGCCAUGCCGCGUGUAUGAAGAAGGCCUUCGGGUUGUAAAGUACUUUCAGCAGUGAGGAAGGUGGAUAUGUUAAUAGCAUAUUCAUUUGACGUUAGCUGCAGAAGAAGCACCGGCUAACUCCGUGCCAGCAGCCGCGGUAAUACGGAGGGUGCGAGCGUUAAUCGGAAUUACUGGGCGUAAAGCGCAUGCAGGUGGUUUGUUAAGUCAGAUGUGAAAGCCCGGGGCUCAACCUCGGAAUUGCAUUUGAAACUGGCAAACUAGAGUACUGUAGAGGGGGUAGAAUUUCAGGUGUAGCGGUGAAAUGCGUAGAGAUCUGAAGGAAUACCGGUGGCGAAGGCGGCCCCCUGGACAGAUACUGACACUCAGAUGCGAAAGCGUGGGGAGCAAACAGGAUUAGAUACCCUGGUAG
This 473-nucleotide ribosomal RNA is filed under the name uncultured bacterium. RNAcentral's name for it is "bacterial SSU rRNA". It matches the Rfam family "Bacterial small subunit ribosomal RNA", at positions 329 to 793 of the family's 1533-position model. The record is from RNAcentral.